AUUGAACGCUGGCGGCAUGCUUUACACAUGCAAGUCGAACGGUAACAGGUCUUCGGAUGCUGACGAGUGGCGAACGGGUGAGUAAUGCAUCGGAACGUGCCCAGUCGUGGGGGAUAACGCAGCGAAAGCUGUGCUAAUACCGCAUACGAUCUAUGGAUGAAAGCGGGGGACCGUAAGGCCUCGCGCGAUUGGAGCGGCCGAUGUCAGAUUAGCUAGUUGGUGGGGUAAAGGCCCACCAAGGCGACGAUCUGUAGCUGGUCUGAGAGGACGACCAGCCACACUGGGACUGAGACACGGCCCAGACUCCUACGGGAGGCAGCAGUGGGGAAUUUUGGACAAUGGGCGCAAGCCUGAUCCAGCAAUGCCGCGUGCAGGAAGAAGGCCUCGGUU
Molecule: ribosomal RNA, 390 nt
Filed under: uncultured bacterium
Lineage: Bacteria
Description: bacterial SSU rRNA
Rfam family: Bacterial small subunit ribosomal RNA
Source: RNAcentral